GCCGGGCGUGGUGGCGUGUGCCUGUAGUCCCAGCUACUCAGGAAGCUGAGGCAGAAGAAUUGCUUGAACCUAGGAGUUGGAGGUUGCAGUGAGCCGAGAUUGUGCCACUGCACUCCAGCCUGGGUGACAGAGUGAGACUCUGUCUCAA
Unclassified non-coding RNA from Macaca fascicularis (crab-eating macaque), 148 nucleotides. It matches the Rfam family "Metazoan signal recognition particle RNA". From Rfam's summary of the family: The signal recognition particle (SRP) is a universally conserved ribonucleoprotein. The record is from Ensembl. NCBI's taxonomy places the organism in Eukaryota, Metazoa, Chordata, Mammalia, Primates, Cercopithecidae.